GAUCCUGGCUCAGGACGAACGCUGGCGGCACGCUUAACACAUGCAAGUCGAACGAGAGAAGAGAAGCUUGCUUUUCUGAUCUAGUGGCGGACGGGUGAGUAACACGUGAGCAAUCUGCCUUUCAGAGGGGGGAGUACCGAUUGGAAACGAUCGUUAAUACCGCAUAAUAUAAUUGAACCGCAUGAUUUGGAUUAUCAAAGAUUUAUCGCUGAAAGAUGAGCUCGCCGU
RNAcentral lists this ribosomal RNA (228 nucleotides) under uncultured bacterium. RNAcentral's name for it is "partial 16S ribosomal RNA". It matches the Rfam family "Bacterial small subunit ribosomal RNA", at positions 15 to 236 of the family's 1533-position model. The record is from RNAcentral.